Molecule: transfer RNA, 102 nt
Filed under: Coprinopsis marcescibilis
Lineage: Eukaryota; Fungi; Basidiomycota; Agaricomycetes; Agaricales; Psathyrellaceae
Rfam family: tRNA
About the family: Transfer RNA (tRNA) molecules are approximately 80 nucleotides in length. Their secondary structure includes four short double-helical elements and three loops (D, anti-codon, and T loops). Further hydrogen bonds mediate the characteristic L-shaped molecular structure. tRNAs have two regions of fundamental functional importance: the anti-codon, which is responsible for specific mRNA codon recognition, and the 3' end, to which the tRNAs corresponding amino acid is attached (by aminoacyl-tRNA synthetases). tRNAs cope with the degeneracy of the genetic code in two manners: having more than one tRNA (with a specific anti-codon) for a particular amino acid; and 'wobble' base-pairing, i.e. permitting non-standard base-pairing at the 3rd anti-codon position.
Source: Rfam by way of RNAcentral
GCCUGCCUAGCUCAAUCGGAUAGAGCGUCAGACUCUUACGACGUCUGCUCCGGCGGAAAACAUACGAUCUGAAGGCUGCGAGUUCGACCCUCGCGGUGGGCU